AGUGGAGACUUUUUAGAACACGGAAUGACUCCAACAAGGGUCAGACUCUAACAACCAAACAACAACAAUCAACAACUACUUCACAGUUCUCAGAGAUCAGCCCUGCCACGGGAAACGCACAGUAAAGCAAGAGCAGGGUUGACAUUCUCUGUGAAAUGGCAUCAGGCAUGACUCUGGAGCAAUCUUACAGAUGGAUAGCCUUGAUCUCCUUCCACCAGUUGGCUAAAGGAUUGAAUUUUUUACUAUCUGUAGGAGAUAGUCUAUGAUCUUGUUCCAAAUAUCUGAAUAAACUUUAAGAACCACAGUGCAAUCACUUGGACACGAUCCCAGAUCCAUCCGUCCAUUCAUCCAUCCACCCAUCCAUCCAUCAUUCACGAUUGACUCAAUAUCCUGCUGGGAGCUGGGAAAAAAGAGACAUGAAGUAUCCCUGCCUCUGAGCAGCUUUCAGUGCAGAUGGUAUGCCAGGGACAAUAUACAAGACAGAAUAGAGUUCAUUCAAGUAUUCUAUGUUUUGUUAUUUAGUUUUCAAAUAUGAACCCUGGAUGGAACCAGGCUUUGUUCCCCCAAGUUAUCAGCUAAAGAGAAAGAGCUCAGCCAAGUGACAAGGUGUUGCCGCAGUGAUAACUCAAUUUUGUGGUUUUCAGAAAUGCAGAAGAAAGAAGGUUGGAAAGAAUGGGCUGGCACUCCCCGAAGAGUGGGGCUCAAAGUUCUGGUCUCAGCAGAUCUUUGAGGGAGACGUAGGGUCUAGGCCGGCAAAACCAGAGAGAAGGAUAGGCUUUUAGAUGCUCAUCCCACCCAAAACCAUGAAAUAAUCUCCCCUGUCUCCUGAUUAGUAUUUGUCAGCCUCAUUUACCCUUAAGAUUUGUGCAAAUGAAAAACGUUAAAUGCAGUUCCUGGAUCAGUAAUUAAACAUAAUUAUUUCAGUGGAAGAGAUUUUUGUUUUCAUAAUCUCCUCUUUGUCUGCAUAGAGCCAGCUCUUGGUUACAUCUGCCACUGAUAGCCUUUGCUCUGUUUACUUUAAAGAAUAAGCCACUGUUUGAUUUGGUUUCUUGUUUUCAAUAUGUAAACCCUGGUCUCUUGAUUCCCCAUUCCAGGAAGGAAAAAAUAAAAGAACAAGGCUCUUUAAAUAUCAGAGCCAUGAUGACUUAACAGAUACACGCAGGCUCAAUAUUUUAUGUAACAGCCACUUAGGAAAAUGCGUAAGAAUUUCCCAGCUGGCAGCCCUGAUUUGGCAGGUGUACCUCAAUUGAACCAAUCGCUUUUCAUCUGGCUGUCAAUUUGUUUGGUUUUUCUGGCUACAUUGCACCAGAGUCUGUGUGUAUUCCAAAAGGUCGUUCACCUAUUCCACGGUUCAAAGGGAUCAUUCUGUUCACUUAAAGGGUCACUGUAAUCAUAUAUUGAAACAUAGCUAAGUACGAUGAGCUAGAAUUUUAGGAGGGGUAAAACUAAUAGGAAAAUCCAGGAGUAUAAACCACAAAACACACAUAAAAAAAGAGAUAAAAACAGAAAACAUAAUUCCUCAAUUAAAAAAAAAAAGGAACCAAAAAGAAAAAAAAUCUAUAACAAACCACACUGUAGGAGUCUCACUAUACACUAAAAUUAACAAUCACAGCUGGGGUAAAUACUUUAUUUAUUUUAUUCAUAUUCUGCACUGGCAGCAUAUUCUAGUUGCCUGUUUGAUUUCAUUAAUCCAAAGCAAAAGAGAAGUAGAGAUUUAUGUAAAUUUCAUGUUAUGCUCAGAUUGUAAGGGAGCCACUAAUUGAACUUCAGGUCUUCCUUAUUGGAAGGAAGACCUGAAGAUGAAUGGCUUCAUGAAAUAAUCGUAAAUGAAUAAUUCCCCCACAUCCGUAAGUCAGCCUACUUCUGUAAACAGAAAAACAAGGUAGUAGUCCCAUAGUCUAUUUUUUAAUCCAGAAAAAGUCAUUCUUGCAGCAAGAAUAAGGGAAACUAUGUCCCAAAAAUACCAGGUUUUCCAGAUAUAGGGAUCAUGUUUGACCAAAACAACCCUUGGCCUAAAAAUACUGCUAUAUUCAAAUAAGAGGAGUUGCUGUUAUUUAAUUUUACUAUACUAUUUAUACUUACAUGGGAUUUUUAUAAUGAUACUACUGUGGUUUUCACAGAUGUUUGGCUUGUAAAAAUGCUAAAGAUUACAAUCUUUAGGUCACCAACUACCUGUAUUUAUGGAGGCUACAGGACAGAGCACAGAACAGCCAGGAAGCCAAAACGCGCUCGAAUUACCUCCAGCACUUACUGCCGCGGGACUCAAACCCGAGUCCUUUCUGGGACUGCUUUUCCUUGAACAUAAAAAUGGGGGUGAUAUCACCUUCCACAGGGAUCUCCUAACUGUACAGAGGGCUUAGCACACUGUCUGGCACUCAGAGGCCUUGCUGGAUCGUGAUCCGCCCCCUCCAGUCAGCGACUGAGACCCCUCACUGGUUCAAGGGCAAACACAGUGCUGAGAGCUGUGUGCCUGGAUCCCGCCAGCAGGUGUGCUGGGGUAGGGAAUGGAAGUCAGGCAUCUUGAUCUCCAUAUGUAUCCACCGAUGGACACCCUGCCUGCCUUUCACUGGGCUCACCCUAAAAUGGUGAACAAAGAAAACAGCUCUCACCUCUGGAGCCAACACGGAGGGGUGGGUAUGAGUGCAGAUGUGGUGGGGGUGCUGGUGGAGGCUUGCUGCCCAUCUGGCUUUUCCUGUUAUUGACAUGCUCAGAUGAAAGUGGGCCCUGUUCACAAACAUGGCAUCCAUUCCUGGGACUCAUCCCGAGCAGAACCUCAAAUAAAAACCAGAACAAACUACACUAAUUUGCUGAACCCCAAAUGGAGCCAAAUUCAAAGCUCUUACGAAACUACAAACAGAACCACAGUUUCAAAAACACCAGGAAAAUAGUCUCAACAAGACAUUACCUACAUGAAGGAUGUCUGAAAUCUAUUUUAGUGUAAAAAUGCUAUAAGUUUACUCUCCUACUUUCUAAAAUUACUGAAUUAGUUAUUAAAAUAACAACCUAAGUAAUCUGACUGUAAAUUGAGCCAUAUUUUAUUUACCCUAAGAUCUCUCAAUCAAAUGGAGAUAUAACAAGGGUUAUCAAUUUCUACUGCAUCUAUUCCUGUAACAUAUUAAAUCUCCAUCUCCUUGAGAGAAGUACAUUGAUUUUUCCACAGGAGAAUUUUUUUCUAGCUCCAAGAACAGCUGAGGGCUGCAAAACUGAGCAGAUGGCCACAUGGAAGAAUCUGCUUGGUUGAUAAGAUAGUUUAAAAGAAAAAUCACCUGACUGCACAUCCCAAAUACCUGUCAAAGUAGGUCAUGAACACUGCUUGAUUGGAACAAACCAAAAUAUUUAAUGGAUCGAAUCUUCCAGAGUUCAUGAUAACUGCCCCACCAAAGGUCUGGGCUUAAGCACUGAUGUUUCCUUUAAUUAUAAAGCCCAGAUUGUAAGGCAAACACAGCCCUGCCAGUGUGUUUGUAGGUCCAGUCAGUGACUGUGCUGCGUCCACAAUGGUCUUUAUCAUUGUCACUUGUUUGACCUGACUAUAACUGAGUAAAGCAUCAUCAUUACAAAAUGCAGCAUGCGGGAUAGUAAUCACCUAAAGAUAUGGUUCAAGCACUUCACCAACCUCUGAACCUGAAUAUGCCUAAUGAAUUUUGUAAACCUUACAAAAAGUGAAGCCAGGUGAUUAUCAGAAAAAAGACAUGUGUCAUACUAAAGAAAGAGCAUGUUCUGGACCUGAGAAAACAGCAGUGCAGAAGGGAAUGUCUUUUCUCCACAGUGAUAUGUGGCCACAGCCUUGAACAGCAAAUUUGCAGAUUAAUGAAGAUAGUAAAAUAGAUCACAUCCUCCUGCCUCCAGGUAUAAUAUUUUAUUCAUAUAAGAGCUAUGUGAGCCUUGAUUUAUAUGAACUUUCAUUAGUAGGCAAAAUUCAAUCAUAAGGUUUCCUCUUUUCACCUCUAGGCGUCCUUAAAUUCAACACACAGUCAAAUGGUGAUUGGCUUCCCCUCUCCCUAGGUAAUACCCCACCCCCCAGCCUCCCAAAAAAGACAGAAAAAGAGGAAAAUGAAAAACAAGCACGUUAGAAAGGUGGCCAGACAAAACGGUUUGCAUCAACAACAUAACUUCUGAUUUGUUCUCCCGCUGGGACAGUCUAAUGCAGCCUCAUUCAGCUGUGCAUUUUCAAUAUUAUUCAACAGAGCCCACUCAGGUCAAAGUAGAGUCUUUUCCUUCACAAGUACAGAGAUACAACACUAGGUUUACGGGAGGGCUAUUUUCAAUCUUCUUGAGCGGUAAUGUGUUUCCAUUAUGGUUCCAUCUAUUUGUGAUCUAUAAUGCUUUCCAAAUAGCCCCAAAUUUCAAAGAAGCUCUAGUUGGUUCCAAAUGGAAAUGAGAUUACAUAUUUAGUAUUAUUUUAUUCUCAAAUGUUAGAUUUAAUUAGGUUGGGAGCAUUCAUUCAUCUGCCCAUUGUGUUUGUUGACUUCAUUAAGGGACAAUCACAGAAUUGCAGGGAAGUCCACGUAGGGCCCCCCAAACUGCGAUUGCUUUUAGCUUUUAUAAACCAUUAAAAUGUAAGUCAAGCACAUAAAUAUAUCUGCUAUGAAAAGAAGUGGUAUUGCUAAGUUCCCUGAUAGAUGAUGACAGGACUUCUCAGAAUUCGAAGGCCAGUGUUUUAAUCUUCAGGUUCUCUCAGGUCACGUGCUUGCCAAUGACAUUGGACCAGGAAUCUCCAGAGGUGAGAAAGCCCCGGCCAACCCCAAAUGCAGCUCUUGCUUGGUGAAAGCAGAGAUGGGGUGAGGACAGGGACACAGGCAGAACCCUGCCGCGCUCCAGCUGAGCUGCUCACUUGCCACUCCCAGAGAAAACAGGAGGAUCGACCUUUCUCUAUGCAACGUCUAAAAUUAAUUUGGUGCUUAAAAUCAGAGGUGGGUCAAGCAGUUGAUUACCUGAGGUUGCCUUUGGACUAACAAAGGCGUCUCUUCAGCAUGGUGAAUUGCUCUGAUGGCCCUGGGCCCGGAGCAGUGAUUUGAGAAAAUCACCCAUGGCAACCAUUAGGCAAUGAGUCUCCAUUGACUGCCAAAAUCUCACUGAAUAUUGAAGGAAAAGAGAAUUUAUAUGUAAUCCAAUUCAGAGCAACAACAACAACAACAUCAACAAUUCAAUGUUCCCCAGUUCUUCAUGGGAAAACUUCAAUCCAGGUCCAAAGAGAGCUGCAAGAACAGCGCAGUUCACACAGAAAGUCUGCAUUCACAGGCUGGGCUGGGGUCGCAACUCUGCGGGCCUCCCCACCCUGCCACGCUUUGUACUGCUGUGUGAUUUUAGCGGAGGCAUUUAGCUCACACAGCCUUAGUUUCCUCAUCUGUAAAAUUGAAUAGCUACCUUCUAGGCUUUGGGAGAAUGCAAUGGAAAAAGAAUCUUGCCUAGGGCAUCAUCAGCUCAGUAAAUAAUAGUUAUUAUCAUGAUGAUUAUCCUCCAGGUAGCUGUGAUGUGUAGAAGCCCAGAACCAAGUAGCACAGGAGACAGAGGUAGUUAAUUCAACCCUCCUCCAAUACAACUGAGUGCCCUAAUUAUCCGAAUAGAAGCUCCACUGCAGGAAAACUCUGUUUUGGAGCUCAAGGAAAGACCUACAAGGGAGAACCACAGAGCUGUAAUUAUCAGCUGAAAGAGGAAGGAAGUUCUAAUCUCACAGAGCCCUUGGAGACUUGUGAACACCCGAAGCUUGGAGAAGGCUUCAACAGGGAACAAACGGUGAAAGCCACACAAAAAUGAACUUAGCAGCAGGAAGGAGUACUCCACGUGCCCCUGCACCUCUCACCAAAGGGAUACAGAUAUGUGAUGGGUGUUUCUGUAAUAUAUGCCUCAUUUUCCAAUGGAAAACCUCCAUAUACACAUGAGUGCAUGGAGAGGUCAUAGUCACUGGUCAAGGAGUUAGAGAUGAGUGGGGAAAAGUGAUAGGGUGAGCAUCCUCAAUCUGGCCCCACCCUAUCUGGCGCCAGACACCUAAUGAACCACCUUUACUGGGGGAGACAGGGUCAAGGAUGAAGCAAUUUCCUCUUCAUAUCUAGCUAUCAUUUAUUCUACAUAGUUGAUGCAGGCAAUAUGCUGGCUGUUUGAAGCAGGUGAUAUUUCUAAUCCACACAAUGGCCUGAAAGGUAAGUAUUAUGGAAUCACUUAUCUGGAUAAAUAAAACAUGAGGUUCAGAGAGAUUACGUAACUGGCCUAGAUCAAUAGGUGGGUAGGCAGACAGGUAGGCAGGUAGAUAGAUAUAGAGAUUGAAAUAUACUUUAAAAACACUCUGUUUGCCCUACAUUCCUUGCUUUAGAUAGGAUUCUGAAUGUGGGGCGGGCAGGAAAGCUGUCAGUCACGAAGGGAGCCUGCCCACCACAAGGCGAGUCAUGUGACCCAGGCCAGAGAAUCAGGUUACCCCACAGGGAACAUCAGUGAUUGGCCCAGGGGUAAGCAGGUAGCUCAUGUAGCACCAGAGUCAUAUUUUUGAAGUUUUUAUGGAAGUUGGAAAGAUCUCUUUUGGAAAUUACCAACUCCAGAGAGGAUGUUAGCCUGGGAGUGCCAGGAACUUUCUGUGUCACUGGGGAAAGCGAGACUUGAUUCUCCGGAUAUCAUUGACCAUCUGGGUCCUGUGGUGCCUGACGCUAUGAGUUCUCAAAGUGGGGCCCCCAAAGCAGCAGCAGCAGCCUCAUGGCCUUGCUGGAAAUGCGAAUUCUCAACCUCAGCUCCCAGACUCACUGCAUUACAAACUCUGGAAGAUGGAGCUGACUCAGUGAGAUCUCUUUCCAAGCUCUCUAGAUGGGCCUGAUGCUUAUUUUGAAAAGCACUGUUCUAGGUCAAUCCAGGGAACUGUUAAACUUCAUGAGCCAAUAGAUACCCCUCUUCUUGCCUAAACUUUGAUUAUAAUAAAAGAAAAAUACAGCAAGAUAGUUUUGAGGGUUUUUUAAUAAAAAUUUACAAUUAUUUUUUAAUCGCAAGUAAACUUAAUUAUUUUACCAUUAAAACCUCUUCAACACAGAAAUUCCUUUGAGGUUUUUAGUUUUGUUCUGUGUUUGUUUGUAUGUGAGGCAAGACACCCCUGGAUGCUUGCAAAGAAGAGGCAAUUUGAAGUGAAACAGGCAGAUGUACAAUCUGAUCCCAUAAGUGACCCACUGCAGAACAGACAGCUGGACAUAUGGACAUAUGCAGCUGCCUGUCAUUUAUACACGAGAGUUAAACAGUUGGCAAAGAGAGUCUGGGCCACAGAGUGGUGAGCUGGCUAGAGGUGCGGAUCUAGCCAUUGGAUAACACUGUACUUAAAACACAAAACUCUAUCCAAGAAGAGGAAAUGAUUGAAUACGAAGUAUUUGAAAAAAGAUUUGAAAGACUGAAAAUGAAACACUUCCUUACAUUCGCUAAGUGAGCUGAGAAAGAAUUGCCCAGAAGGGUGAUACGGAGGGCUAGAGAAUGAAGACGACAGGGAGUGGAAGGAGAGAGCCCACCUACAUGGCACCCAGCUUUGCAGAGGCUCCUGAAGACACAAGGUUGAAGGCCCUGGACUCAAAAAUUUCCUUGACUCUGCCAGGCAAGAGGGUUAGCUGUUUCAGCAGAGGGUAGAGCCAAGCGAAAGCUGGAGAGUGAAUAAGAAAUGCUAGGAGCAAUUGCGUCAGGUGGGGCAACCAGGACUGUGUUUGCCUUCGGACCAGGGCUGCCGAGUACAGAUAGCAGGUGGUUUAUGUGAGGCCUGGAGCAGGGGUCAUUGCAGGAGACGGGGUUGCUGUGUGCCUAUAAAUGGAGUGAAAAAGGUCACUCAUCUAUUCAUCCAACAAAUAUUCAACAAGCACCUGUUACAUACCAGAUUAUUACAUACAUGUGGCAGUGCACGUAACUGUGAAGCUGUGUACUACAGCUGCAGGGCGAGGACUGGGGCUUUAGCUCCCACCUUGUGCAAUGUGGGAUCUUCUCCAUCGUCAUAUCAAGCCACCCCACGUGUAUUUAAUGUAAGUUGGAACACUGUGCUUGCUACAAAAGUCAGCUUCAGAAGAAGCCCCUCCGUGGAUCACCACCUCCCUACAAGCUGCAGUCCUAAUCUCCUAUGUCAAAAUCAGGGACUGCUGCUGCCCCGGGGGGUUUAGAGAUGAAGACCCAGACUCUGACUGAGGAGUCUCCCAGUGAAAGGAAGGAGGCAGAAGCCCAGUCACCAGUGACGCCACCCAGCUGAGUGGACCGCGCAGAGGGAGGCGGACGCAGGGCACUCCAACAUGGACCUGAGAGGCACACACUGCAAUGCAAAUCCUCCACGAUAGUCCACAGGAUGUACUGGGAGAAACUGGAAGGCCACAGGAGAAACGUUUGCUCACGAAAACACAGGCAUUUCAUGUGCCUGGAGCACGGGAUGAAGAAUUCCUUAGACUUUGAGUGCCAAGCUAGUGCUUGGACUUUCUUCUAAAGGUCAUGGGUGAGCCCUUGGGGAAUGUGGAGACCACUCCGGCCUGCGAUGGAGAAGGAAAUUGUGCCAGAAGCUGGGAAGUCAAAGUUAACCCUCCAGGCUAGAUCUAGGGAAAGACUUGUCAGCUGUUUCUUCACUUCCAUGACCUUGGAAAAUCCGCUGUCUCCACCAGACACUGAUCCUUGGCACAGCCACUAUUUGAUACACUUAACUCUGCUCAGGAUUUUAGAUCUCAACCCAGGAAAUGAGCUACAGUCUCACCCCAGUGCUUGAAAUAGGUGUGCAAACAAUUCACAUAUUAUAAAUACGUUGACUUGGGCCGGGUGUGGUGGCUCACGCCUGUAAUCCCAGCACUUUAGGAGGCUGAGGCAGGAGGAUUACUUGAGGUCAGGAGUUCCAGACAAGCCUGGCCAACAUUGCAAAACCCUCUCUCUACUAAAGUACAAAAAUUAGCCGGGCAAGGUGGUCCGUGCCUGUAAUCUCAGCUACUCAGGAGGCUGAGGCAGGAGAAUCGCUUAAACCCAGGAGAUGGAAGUUGCAAUGAGGCGAGAUCACAACAACCCACUCCAGCCUGGGCGACAGAGCAAGACCCUGUCUCAAAUAAAUAACUAAAAUGAAAAUAAAUAAAUUGAUUUGUUUUCAUUCAUAUAUUUUGGGGAUACAAUGGAGCUUAAAGUUUGAAAACCAAAACGGAGCUGGCCACCAAAGGUGUGGAUUUGGUCAACAGGGUGUGGACUCCAGCAGCCCGUGUCACUCUCAGACUCCAUGUCUCAAUUUGAAUGUUUCCAUGUCACUUAAAAAGUAGAAUAUUCAUAGUGAUGUUGAAGAUACAAAAGAUAUACCAGGAUUAAUUUUCUAGUCAAUUUUAUGUGUCUGUGACCCAAGACAAUAAAAGUUAAGUCAUCGUUAGUUCCUUAGUUGCUGGACACUUUAGCCCAAUAUACCACCUUCAAUUUUGAAUUAUUAUUUGGACUGUGUUCAUGAGAUUCUUGGAGUAUGUUAAAUCAACACAUUUCUUUGUAAUUAUUGAGAACCUUUUGUUCCCUAUAAAAUCAAGUGUACGAUGAUGUAAACUAUAAAACGCAAAUUGUAGGGACAAUUGGUAAUCUGCAGUGAAAAUAAAGUCAAAAUAGCAAAGAGCAGAUUAUUCUCAAAUUUAUGUAACAGAGUUCUUACAUGUGGAAGUGGAUACAAGUAUUAGCACAUUCAGUUGAUGUACUGAAAAUAAAAUGAAACUAUUUUUCUACUUACUACUUGCUUGUGAAAUCCAAAGGGGUGAAUAAGAGCCAGGAUUCAUUGUCAUGAGUGUAGGGGUGCCCUGGGAAGGAGGCCUCCAUCCCACGUGUCAGUGGCGUCAUCAGAAAUUCCAUGAUCGUCGGCUUAUUCUUUGCACACGUGUCUACAGGGUCCCUCCGCACACCGACUUGGUGUCCUCCAGGAUGCAGAAAACCCAAAUUAAACUAGUUUAAUGAAUAAGGAAACUAAGUGGCUCUUAGGACCAUAAGCCCUGCGGUGACGCCUGCUUCAGGGCUGGAGGAGCUAAGUGUUCUCUGGUUCACCAAAGCCCCCAGUUCUUUCCGUCUGUCACUCAUAGCUUCGGCUUCGUCCCCGGCUCACUGCCAGUGGUAAUCAGGCUGCCCAAGAACUUCUGAAAUCCACAGCCCGGUGUUUCCAAACGAAUUAUCAGUAGGGUUGGAAUCCCUUCUCCCCAGCCCCAGCCCCAGCAAGGCCCUCCAACGCCACUGCAGUUCCCUGGAUAGCAGGAAGAGGCCUGAGCCGGCUCUCCCGGAGCUCCAGGUGCAGAGUCUCCCCACAUGGGAGUCAGUGUUCUCAGAGCAGCAUUUGUUGACCUGAGCUAACCAAGUUCUCUAACUGAAAGCCUGGCUGUGUAAAGCCACAGAUGUCUGGCAUUAGAAUAGCUCAAGGACAGGAGAAAAAACUGACAAUCAGUCCAGAACGGCAUCCCAGGACUUCUGCUCUGAGGAGAAAACAGGACUAAACCCCAGCUGAGGUCUAUUUCCAACUCCAAGAUUCUGCAAUGUUAUCUCUGUUUAAAAAGAUAUCCCACUUUUUGAUGACAGUGUGUCUGGAAUUGGUGGGUUCUUGGUCUCACUGACUUCAAGAAUGCAGCUGCGGACCCUGGCGGUGAGUGUUACAGCUCUUAAAGGCGGCAUGUCCGGAGUUUGUUCCUUCUAGGUGGGUUCCUGGUCUCUCUGGCUCAGGAGUGAAGCUGCAGACCUUAGCGGUAAGCUGUUACAGCUCUUAAGUCAGCGCGUCUGGAGUCGUUCGCUCCUCCCGGUGGGUUCGUGGUCUCGCUAGCCUCAGGAGUGCAGCUGCAGACCUUCGUGGUGACUGCUACAGCUCAUAAAAGCAGUGUGGACCCAAAGACUGAGCAGUAGCAAGAUUUAUUGCAAAAGACGAAUGAACAAAGCUUCCACACGACAGACACAAACCCUAACAGAUUGCCACCGCUAGCUCGGAGAGCCUGCUUUUCUUCCCUUAUCUGGCUCCACCCACAUCCUGCUGAUUGGCCCAUUUUACAGAGAGCUGAUUGGUCUGUUUUACAGAGAGCUGAUUGGUCUGUUUUGACAGGGUGCUGAUUGGUGCGUUUACAAUCCUGAGCUAGACACAAAGGUUCUCCAAGUCCCCACCAGAUUAGCUAGACACAGGGUGCUGAUUGGUGCAUUUACAAACCUUGAGCUAGAUACAGAGUGCUGAUUGGUGUAUUCACAAUCCCUUAGCUAGACAUAAAUGUUCUCCAAGUCCCCACCAGAUCAGCUAGACACAGAGUGCUGAUUGGUGCAUUUACAAACCUUGAGCUAGAUACAGAGUGCUGAUUGGUGUAUUUACAAUCCCUUAGCUAGACAUAAAGAUUCUCCAAGUCCCCACCAGACUCA
RNAcentral lists this long non-coding RNA (11316 nucleotides) under Homo sapiens (human). RNAcentral describes it as "HSALNT0206781". The record is from RNAcentral. Lineage: Eukaryota; Metazoa; Chordata; Mammalia; Primates; Hominidae.